UCCAGUGAGGCAAUCAUUGGUACAUGCUGACCAACGAUGUAUUAUGGUCAGGAGCUAGUUUCCUUUCAGAUCUAGCUAGCUGGUGCUGAUCAUGGGGAUAUACUGGUGGAAGCAUAUUUUUUCAUAUGAUAUAAGACCUUAUUUCUUUUUGAGUCUCUAGUGGGAUGAUUAUUGGCAUAUGAUUGAUGUAUGACAUAUUAUAGUCAUGAUCUAAUAUCUUUUGGAGCUUGUCACAGGUCGAUCAUGGCCAC
RNAcentral lists this long non-coding RNA (251 nucleotides) under Elaeis guineensis (African oil palm). Its description in RNAcentral is "long non-coding RNA (EGUI_LNC004931)". Lineage: Eukaryota; Viridiplantae; Streptophyta; Magnoliopsida; Arecales; Arecaceae. The record is from RNAcentral.